UACGAAGGGGGCUAGCGUUGCUCGGAAUCACUGGGCGUAAAGCGCACGUAGGCGGAUCGUUAAGUCAGGGGUGAAAUCCUGGAGCUCAACUCCAGAACUGCCUUUGAUACUGGAGAUCUUGAGUCCGGAAGAGGUAAGUGGAACUGCGAGUGUAGAGGUGAAAUUCGUAGAUAUUCGGAAGAACACCAGUGGCGAAGGCGACUCGCUGGACAGACAUUGACGCUGAGGUGCGAAAGCGUGGGGAGCAAACAGG
Molecule: ribosomal RNA, 253 nt
Filed under: uncultured bacterium
Lineage: Bacteria
Description: partial 16S ribosomal RNA
Rfam family: Bacterial small subunit ribosomal RNA
Source: RNAcentral